CCUGGCGGCACUAGCGCGGUGGUCCCACCUGACCCCAUGCCGAACUCAGAAGUGAAACGCCGUAGUGCCGAUGGUAGUGUGGGGUCUCCCCAUGCGAGAGUAGGGAACUGCCAGGC
RNAcentral lists this ribosomal RNA (116 nucleotides) under Salmonella enterica. RNAcentral also lists the same sequence under 12 other names. The record is from RNAcentral. Lineage: Bacteria; Pseudomonadati; Pseudomonadota; Gammaproteobacteria; Enterobacterales; Enterobacteriaceae.